GACGAACGCUGGCGGCGUGCUUAACACAUGCAAGUCGAACGGAAAGGCCCUGAUUUUGUGGGGUGCUCGAGUGGCGAACGGGUGAGUAACACGUGUGUAACCUGCCCUUGACUUUGGGAUAACUUCAGGAAACUGGGGCUAAUACCGGAUAGGAGCUCCUGCUGCAUGGUGGGGGUUGGAAAGUUUCGGCGGUUGGGGAUGGACUCGCGGGUUAUCAGCUUGUUGGUGGGGUAGUGGCUUACCAAGGCUUUGACGGGUAGCCGGCCUGAGAGGGUGACCGGCGACAUGGGGACUGAGAUACGGAGCAGACGGCUACGUGAGGCAGUGGUGGGGAGUAUUGCACAGUGGGCGGGAGCCUGAUGCGGCAGCGCUGCGUGCGUGAUGACGGCUUUCUGGUUGUGAACCGCUUUCGCCUGUGACGAAGCGUGAGUGACGGUAAUGGGUAAAGAAGCACCGGCUAACUACGUG
This 468-nucleotide ribosomal RNA is filed under the name uncultured bacterium. Its description in RNAcentral is "partial 16S ribosomal RNA". It matches the Rfam family "Bacterial small subunit ribosomal RNA", at positions 28 to 507 of the family's 1533-position model. The record is from RNAcentral.